Molecule: ribosomal RNA, 498 nt
Filed under: uncultured bacterium
Lineage: Bacteria
Description: partial 16S ribosomal RNA
Rfam family: Bacterial small subunit ribosomal RNA
Source: RNAcentral
AGCGAACGCUGGCGGCGUGCCUAACACAUGCAAGUCGAACGUGAAAAGGGAAACCUGAGUAAAGUGGCGUACGGGUGAGUACCGCGUAGGUAAUCUACCCCAGAAUCUGGAAUAACCUGCCGAAAGGCGGGCUAAUACUGGAUAGAGCGAGGGAACUCGUAAGAGAGUUUUUCGGGAAAGGGAGCCCGCAAGGGCCUUCGUUCUGGGAUGAGCCUGCGUCUCAUUAGCUAGUUGGUAAGGUAACGGCUUACCAAGGCGAUGAUGAGUAGCUGGUCUGAGAGGAUGAUCAGCCACACUGGAACUGAAACACGGUCCAGACUCCUACGGGAGGCAGCAGUGGGGAAUCUUGCGCAAUGGACGAAAGUCUGACGCAGCCACGCCGCGUGAGUGAAGAAGGCCUUCGGGUUGUAAAGCUCUGUCGGAUGGGACGAACAUCUUCAUAGUGAAUAGCUAUGAGGACUGACGGUACCAUCAAAGGAAGCACCGGCUAACUCCGUG